GACGAACGCUGGCGGCGUGCUUAACACAUGCAAGUCGAACGGUAAGGCCCUUCGGGGUACACGAGUGGCGAACGGGUGAGUAACACGUGGGUGAUCUGCCCUGCACUUCGGGAUAAGCCUGGGAAACUGAGCCUAAUACCGGAUAGGACUCCUGGCUUCAUGGUUGGGGGUGGAAAGCUUUUGCGGUGUGGGAUGGGCCCGCGGCCUAUCAGCUUGUUGGUGGGGUGAUGGCCUACCAAGGCGACGACGGGUAGCCGGCCUGAGAGGGUGACCGGCCACACUGGGACUGAGAUACGGCCCAGACUCCUACGGGAGGCAGCAGUGGGGAAUAUUGCACAAUGGGCGCAAGCCUGAUGCAGCGACGCCGCGUGAGGGAUGACGGCCUUCGGGUUGUAAACCUCUUUCAGCACCGACGAAGCGCAAGUGACGGUAGUAGCAGAAGAAGGACCGGCCAACUACGUGCCAGCAGCCGCGGUAA
RNAcentral lists this ribosomal RNA (478 nucleotides) under uncultured bacterium. RNAcentral's name for it is "partial 16S ribosomal RNA". It matches the Rfam family "Bacterial small subunit ribosomal RNA", at positions 28 to 523 of the family's 1533-position model. The record is from RNAcentral.